GACGAACGCUGGCGGCGCGCUUAACACAUGCAAGUCGAACGGAAAGGCCUGCUUUCCCUUGUGGAUUGCGGGUACUCGAGUGGCGAACGGGUGAGUAACACGUGAGUGAUCUGCCCCCAACUUGGGUAUAAGCCUGGGAAACUGGGUCUAAUUCCCGAUAGGACUGCAGGGUGGUGCCUGUGGUGGAAAACGAUUUUCUAGUGGUUGGGGAUGAGCUCGCGGCCUAUCAGCUUGUUGGUGGGGUAAUGGCCUACCAAGGCGGCGACGGGUAGCCGGCCUGAGAGGGUGGACGGCCGCAUUGGGACUGAGAUACGGCCCAGACUCCUACGGGAGGCAGCAGUGGGGAAUAUUGCACAAUGGGCGGAAGCCUGAUGCAGCGACGCCGCGUGGGGGAUGACGGCCUUCGGGUUGUAAACUCCUUUCGACCGAGAGGAAGCCACCUGGUUGGAAGGGUGGUGACGGUAGUGGUAGAAGAAGCACCGGCUAACUACGUG
This 494-nucleotide ribosomal RNA is filed under the name uncultured bacterium. RNAcentral's name for it is "partial 16S ribosomal RNA". It matches the Rfam family "Bacterial small subunit ribosomal RNA", at positions 28 to 507 of the family's 1533-position model. The record is from RNAcentral.